Molecule: ribosomal RNA, 240 nt
Filed under: uncultured bacterium
Lineage: Bacteria
Description: partial 16S ribosomal RNA
Rfam family: Bacterial small subunit ribosomal RNA
Source: RNAcentral
CGAACGGCCCGCAAGGGCAGUGGCAGACGAGGUAGUAACACGUACGAACGUACCCUGUAGUCUGGAAUAGCUCGUCGAAAGGCGGGGUAACACCGGAUGGUCUCGAAAGAGUAAAGUAUAUCGCUACAGGAGCGGCGUGCGUAAUAUCAGCUAGUUGGUAAGGUAAUGGCUUACCAAGGCUACGACGUUUAGGGGAGCUGAGAGGCUGACCCCCACCGAUGGGACUGAGACACGGCCCAU